UACGGAGGAUGCAAGCGUUAUCCGGAUUUAUUGGGUUUAAAGGGUGCGCAGGUUGUUUGAUAAGUCAGUGGUGAAAGUCUGUCGCUUAACGGUAGGAUUGCCAUUGAUACUGUUAGUCUUGAGUUUGGUUAAGGUAGGCGGAAUGUGUAAUGUAGCGGUGAAAUGCUUAGAUAUUACACAGAACACCAAUUGCGUAGGCAGCUUACUGAGCCGACACUGACGCUGAGGCACGAAAGCGUGGGGAUCGAACAGGAUUAGAUA
RNAcentral lists this ribosomal RNA (261 nucleotides) under uncultured prokaryote. Its description in RNAcentral is "partial 16S ribosomal RNA". It matches the Rfam family "Bacterial small subunit ribosomal RNA", at positions 524 to 784 of the family's 1533-position model. The record is from RNAcentral.